GCGAUACUGGAUCCUGUCAAGUUCUAAAUCGGGAGGAUUUUUAUAGUGGAACAACUAAAAGGAAUUGCUGCCUUAUGAUAUAUAACUACUACUUAUUAUAGAUUGAUCCAUCUUGCAGCAGGGAGGUGGAAGGCAGGGAGCUAUAGGGAGAAUGAGGAGCGAUCUGAGACCUGAGCAAAAGUAACCUUCUAAUUGCCUUUUCCAUGACAGCAUCAUAAGCUUCUUUAUGGCAGCUUUAUUUCACAGUGACCUGACACACUGCUGUAAUUUUCCCAGUGUCACUCAUGCAGGUUUAAAAAUGAUUGGUUUUAUGGCUUUUAUUUGGGAAUUUGUCAAGGUUUCACAUUUGUGGAAGCCUUGAAGCAGUGGCCUAAUAGUUCAUAAUUUGGUGUUUAAAGGGAGACUGGUGGGUGACCCGCUCGGGCCUGCAGGUGCCUGCACUGAUCACAUCCUUGAGCCUGGCAGGGAAAUCUCCCUAAUUCCUUUUCCGCCACAGUAAACCUUGGCUGCCAGAAAGGUCCACUCCAGGUUCCAGGAGACUCCUGGCAUCCCGAGAUGGGAGCAGAAGCCCUCUGAGUUUCCUGACCAGCUCUUUUCCUCCACAUCCCGGUGUGAAGUCCAGAAGUCUUCACCACAGAGAUCACUUCAGGGACAGAAAACGCAGUUCUCAUCCAGAUCCAACGCUUACUACUCCACAACGUUGGGCAAGGUACAUUACCUCUCUACACCGCAUUUUUCUCAUCUGGAGUGUAUUGAUGUUGGACUUGAUCCCUUCCAGCUGUAGCAAUAAAUGAUUUUUACUUCUUAAAUUUCCUUUCACUAGCCCAUUCACUCACUCUGUCAGUGGAUGUGACAUUUAUGCUUCAAGAAGAAAGAAAAAUAGUAUCAUCUGCUAACAAAUAGUGUUCAAACACAAGCUCAGGUAAGAAUGAUGCCCCAGAUCCAGUGUGGUCUGAAAGAGGGAAUUGCUGGGCAGAUGAGGCUGGCUUGCUCCACUCCUGCUUUGCACAUCAGUCAAAGCAGGGGAGCUUUCUAACUGAGCUCAGUUGAUGGAGAUUCCUGCUAAUGGGACCCCGUGAGUACCAAUGCAGUUCCUGAUCCAUGCAGCCAAGCUCCUCUGUCUCAUGGCCUUGCCCUGGCAACCAUUUUUAAAAAUGUGUUGUGACUCAUCAAAGACCAUUAUUAUGAACAAACAACAUUUUCACCUACUUGACAUGCACUAGCAUUAUGUUUUUAAUGGGGUUUGCAAUGCUUUUGAUUUUCUGACUCAUUUUGAGUAUUGGUAUUAUAACUCAUGCAUUUUGAUAUUUCCUUUUGAUCUAAAAAAAAAAUCCUGGUCUCUCAAAUUAUAAUGUUUUUUACAUCUUAGAUGCAAUUUCAGGGUGGAGCAGGGAAGGGAAGGUUCCCCUCUUACUUUAGAUAAACAUCAAGUUAUGGGGCCCAGUUGUGGUAAAGCGCAUUAAAGUGCAUCAUUCCAUAUUGAAGCAUCCGUUCAAGUCCUAACUGCUCCGUUUCUGAUCCAGCUUCUUGCUAAUCUUCCUGGAAAAGUAGUAGAAGGUGGCUCAAACACUUGGAUGUCUGUUACCCAUAUGGGAGACCAGGAUAGAGUUUCAGGCUCCUGGCUUUGGCCUUGCUGAGUGCCAGCCAUUGGAACCAUUUGGGAAGUGAACUUGAGAAUGGAAGAUCUCUCUUUCUCCGUCUCUUCCUCUAUCACUCUGACUUCCAAAUAAACAAAAAACAAAUCUUUAAAAAAAAAUAUAU
This 1761-nucleotide long non-coding RNA is filed under the name Oryctolagus cuniculus (rabbit). RNAcentral's name for it is "lncRNA (ENSOCUG00000033483.1)". The record is from RNAcentral. Lineage: Eukaryota; Metazoa; Chordata; Mammalia; Lagomorpha; Leporidae.